Molecule: long non-coding RNA, 6221 nt
Organism: Pomacea canaliculata
Lineage: Eukaryota; Metazoa; Mollusca; Gastropoda; Architaenioglossa; Ampullariidae
Exons: 3
Source: RefSeq, a predicted model, not a curated record
UGGUGUGGAAAAUGGUGGCUGGUGGUGUGGGAAUGGUGACUGCGGUGGUGUGAGUGUUGGGUGGCUGUAGGUUCCAACUGUUUAGAGAUCAAAGAGCAUGACUCAAACCGUCAACCGUGUGACGUUGGGUUGAAAAUGUUAGUUGUACACCAGCAACAGCACCAAGGGGAAUACUACUCGCACAGCAGCAAUGAGGGAAUAUUAUUCGUACACAAGCAAGAGUAGGGAGGGGAACAAAUUACUCCUACUCCAGUAACGGCAACGAGGGAAAAAGCCGUUAACAAAUAUCAGCAGCAGCAGCAGCCUGCGGAUCACCGAGGGCCAACAAUGCGGCUGCAGGUCGGCACAAGUAAGACGCAUGUUCCCCACCGUCGCUGAUAUCGUCGAGGGCGCCACAGGAAAUGCUAGACAUCGAAAGUAGCGACUUCCUUGACCUGCCCACCCCUCCCCCCAACUGACAUCAUAACUUAGAAAAACAAAGCGCCAAGAUGGAGAUCAGCCCACAAUGACCACUGUCCACACAACGAGGUCCUUAAAGCCGCCUCUCUAAACUUAUAUCACCUUUCAUCAAAGCACUUGCUGUAGGUCACAUGACUCACAUCACCUUUCAUCAAAGCACUUGUUACAGGUUUCGCUCGAAUUUCUCCACCACCACCUCCCACACCAUUUUUAUAUCGCUAUUUGCAUCAUAAUAGGGACACAGGGAGGAAAGUGUUGACUGCCACAUUUCAGAAAGAUGUUUGUAAUGCUCUUGUAAAGUUCAAGCUACAGGUCAGGUCACAACUGACGACAUGGCGCCGGCUGACAUUGUGCUGUCUGUAGGCGCCCAUUGUUUCUAAAGCAAUCAAACAAAUAUGAUGCACACACAUGGAUAGUAUACAAACACUGUAUCAACUUUAAACAAAACACAACACCUGCACAUCCCCCGCACAGUUCUCAGUCUUGAAAUCAAAGCAUGUCCAGCUAAAUGUUUAUCGCCCACACCACUCGACUCAACAAAAAUGUCCACCUGACCGCAUGAGGACGACCUGCUGACUGCGGACAAAAGACAAAGAACAAAGGACAGGUCGGUGACUCGCGACGACUGACGGAGGGAUGAAAGGCUGCACGGCCACUGAUGUGGUGGUGGUGGUGGUGGUGGUGGUGGUAGUGGUAAGACAGUGUCAGACAUCUACGUCCAGCACGUGACACAUCUUACAAACAUACCUCAGUGAAAUCUCGCAGAUGAGACAACAAUGUCAAUCGUUCUCUCACACUCACACACACACACAAACACACACACAAACACACACGCCACUGUCUUGUGUUGCUUGUAAUGCUGCACUGUGCGUCCUCACCUAUCGUCAUCGUCAGCUGUAUCUCGGGUCUGUUGCCACUCAGGGCGCAGCACUUAAGUCGACUUAAGCUGCCGCUCGUUGCCCCCGAGGUCUUAAUGCUGAGCCCCGGCAGCUACGCAGGUCGCAUCAGGUUGCCGCUGCCGCUCGGAAGGUCACGUGUUCACAGAUAUCGGGGUAUCUGGCGCCACUGCCGCAGCCGAGACACGCUAACCGUCUGUUCGCGGAGCUAAGUGCCGACCAUGUGUUGUCUCCAGCGUUGGCGAGGUGUCAAAGGUCACGAUAUCAUUCAAGCAGCGCGUAGACAGGCUCACCCAACCGUGAAAUCUGAGGUCUCACCCCUUUUCUACGCAUGUGCGUGUGGCGGGGGGGAGAGGCAGAGACAAAAAGAAAAGAUAGAUGAUGACAAUCCAGAUGACCUAACGGUCCUAACCCAUAUAACAGGUGUACUGAGCACCUUACAAUGACCCUGGUCUGCUUACAUCUGACUACAGAAAGUCGGACUGGAAAAGUUUAUUGUUGGUCAAGUCCACAUUCUCUCGCACAGUCACACAUACUCAUUUAUAGACUCGCGAAUUCUAUCUACCGUGGAUGGGUGUUGCGGGUGGAGGUUUGGAUUUGAGGCUACAAAGUCCUCGUCCCACCCUGAAGAGUGAUAUCUCAGUACCCGGGUAAAGCGCCGUUGCUACCCAUGACGUGCUGUAGCCACCCGAAGACCUACUCACAUUGCACCAUAUGUCUCGCUUCUCGCCACCCGACUUCCAUGUAGCGGGUAAGAGGGCGGGGCUCACCAUGACGGUUGUCUCCACAUUCGCCUGUGGGUACCAGAUUGUGCAGAUUCAGCGAUUUCAGAGAAGAGCAGCGCUGGGGGACCCUCACAGCAGCCACCCCGACGCUGGUAGCAAAGGUACAGAGGGUACAGACGGCUUGGGGUGUCGACACGCUGGCGACGGCCGCAUACCCAGCAGGCACCGCGCGACACAAGGCACCCCUUGUUCCAACAGCAGACAACUCCUUGCCGUGACUUCCCCACGCUAUCCACCAACUGCCGGAAACGGGCAAGGGAGCUAAAGCAGCCAGCGGCUGGAUGGAAGGAAGGGGAUAGAAGUCAAGGAAGGUGCAGAGGAUGUCGUAAAACUCUUCUUCCCUCGGUUAUCAGCUCGCGGCACGCGCGCGUGUGUGCUUGGGACAAGUGCUUGGCGAGCUGCGUCUGCCUCCUGUGAAUUCAGAUCCUAUAAGCUAUUAAAAUGUUGUCUACAGACGACCCUGACAGUGACGUCACGCUACCCACAGGAUGAGUGAUGUGGCCUUGGGAGCACCACGAGGCCUGGUGCCAGGCGGAUUCCUCACGAGCAGCGAGCAGAGUCUGCAACCAUCGCCAAGUCGGCAACACAAACAUUUCCGCCUGUCGUCCAGUGAUGGUCACCCACACGGGGUCAUCUGUCAGGUCACCCACGCUGAAGCCAUCCAGUGACGGAGCUGUUAAACGGAUCAUUCACAUAACUGACACAAGGGCCAUCCAUUGACGAACCACACACAGGGGUCAUUUGGUGACGGACCUGUUCCACAGGUCACUCAGGGAUCUGUCGCUCUGUUUUCUUGCUAGACUUCGGUCAAGCCGACCCCAGGGUUUGGGUGACUGUGUCCCACACCCAUCCUUUCUUUUAACCAAAAUAUACAGGAUUAAUGGCGAGGCGGGCGAGUCUGUUAAGCACAAACACAAGUGGAGACUAUCGCCCCACGUGACUAAACGACGCAAAUAAUGCUUGGCGAGGGUCCGACCACAACACUCGGCGUGUACUAACGACCAACCACACUUAACACGCCAACAAGUUGACAAUGGUCAGCAGCUGACCACUAUGCCAAGUUAACAAGAAACCAACAGAUGUUUUCUUCUGCUGACCACCAGAAAAGUCAUUAGUUUUUCAAGACGACUGUCGAGAGCGCAGUGCAAAGCACGCAGAGUGAGUGGUCCAUCAGACAAGCCAACAGGAAACAUCGAGGGUCUCAUCCCUGCACACAGCCAUGUUGGCUAGUUGGUUGUGCCAGACUGUGAAGACGGCUAAAUGCUGGCUUAUUUUCUUACCUGAUAAUGAAGAUUACAUUGCCGGUGUGGCUGGCUUUGCUGACAUGUUAAUGACACGACUGCUAGCUUCUGUAAUUUGGCGGAAGUGACGACCUGCGCCAGUCUGUCUUCGUUCUUGUCGGCUAAGGUGCAACAUGGCAGAACUGCAGUUACAGGAAACGUGAUCAACUAUAUUUUACCAUUUCCGUAAGACGAAAAAAAAAAGAAGAAAACGAAAAUGUGUAAAUGUGUGUACAUCUUGGAAAAAGCACACGAGCAACUGAAUUUUACAGCCUUAAAAAUCCAGUGAGCUGAUGAAGGCUGUGAACAGUUGUGCUAAGUGCACCCAUGUCCAAGCAGGUCCAAGCCCAGCCUGUAUUAAAGUAGUCCCAUGUCAGUCAACGACUGCUAAAUCCCGAGUCUAUCCCCCUUACGGCGAGCACACUAACAAACAUCUUGAAAAUAAAGCAAAAAAAAUAAAUAAAUAAAUGAGGUGGUGGAGGAAGGCGGGUUUGCAAGCCACUAGCCGGGUGCGCUGUAAGCCUGGGAACUGCGCCUGGCGCCUCUUCGCAUGCCCUGACGGGUGCCAGAGAAUGACAACCAUGUCUGCAAGAAAUAGUUUUCGCUUCAGCUUGUAUUGUUGGGGUACGAUGUGCAUGGCUUUGCUGCGUUUUUCAAUUUGAGAAAGUCAGACGCUGGAGCGUUUUUAGCCGCGCGGCGCCACAACGUGUUGCGUCUGCCCCCCGACGCCGCGCUGUCGCCACCUUUUUAUACCCGCCCUACCCCACCCACCACUCCCACCACCACCACCACCACCACACCUCGCGCUCCACUGUUUCUGAGACGUUGACACUCUCCAAAUGUCAUGUAAUCCAUAAGAUGGAGGGAAUCUUGGUGUUGGCAGCUCGGCAACGCACGACAUAGUCGAUGUGGUCGCUGAUGUCGUCUGUUAUUGACGCCGAUAACACAACCACCACCGCCACGUGUGUCUGUAGGGAAAUGCAAGAGUAUUAACUAUCACUGACUACGAUGUUUACUACUGCAGACUACAACAUGACAUAUAGUGUGUCAGCCACCACUAAUGACCAUCGUGACUUCUUUCUACUUAGGCUGUGUAUGUAGGAUGUGAGCUCCAUAACUACCACUUCUAAACUACACACACUUUCAAACAAUACGAGUAUAGUGAUGUAGUUCUGAAAGAAGUGCCUUGGAGCAUUUACAAGAUGGUUUACACAAGGACCCUCAAGGAGACCACAUGAGGUAGUGCUGAUGAUUUGGCUGUGUUGACUGUCUGGCUCUGUCAGGUUACCACAAGACACUUGCUUUAAAAAAAAAUCCUGCUUUCCCAGUAUUUGGUAUUGCCCAGGGCUGAUGUUAGCCUCAUCAUAGAAUGUUGUACAAUGUACUAUUUUAUGUAAAAACCUAUUUAUUUAUGACAUUAUCCCACUGGAUUAACAUUUAGUAUUCAUCGCCUAAAAAUAGCAUUAAGGCUCCAACUUAAUUUUUAUUCUUUAAACUUUUACAAUGGUGUUUUAAAUUUUCUUCAUUGUCACAGAGUAUCACAAUUUACAGUCUGCUCCUAAUUAAUCCCUUUUUUUUCUUACUGCAUAUAUGUACAAAAGUAUUCUGUUCCUCUAAUUUGUCCUUGAUGAAAUAGUGGAAGAAAAUAAUUAGAAUGUUAUUUUCAUGUCACAAGUUUUAUGUUAAUUAGUAAAAAUAGUGAUUUAAUCAAAGUCAAACAUAUCUAUAGCUAUAUGCCGUGAAGCAGGAAAAACAUGUUAAUCUCAGUCUCUCAUGUCAAGCAUGGGUACAAAAAGUUAAGGCGUAGUCUACUACUGUCACAGAAUGAUCAAUUUUUUGUGUUUUUUUUGUCUGCAGUGAUCAUAUCUACACUGACCUGAAAUUUUUAUUACUAUGAUGUUGAAAUAUGGUGUGGUUACUGCAAGUGUUGUUAUUACUAUAUUUACUAGACUGGUGUUCAUAUUUGUUAGUACGGAUGUGUAAGCCUGAUGCUGGUUUUUACAACCAAAUGAAAAAUGUGAAAUCACUUUCAAACACAAAUACAAAUUCCUCUGGAUGUUAUUUAGUGCAACAAAGCCUUGAGAAGUUGUUCUCUAGCAUUUGCUCAGGUUCUUGCUGAGUUCCCUCUUGGCCCUAAUUUUUCAAACUAGCAUACAUACAUAUAACGCAAGCAUCUGAAUAUGAGAGACAGAGAAAGCAAAAAAAGAAUAUUCAACAGUAUGACCUCAGAACAAAUGCAUGAAACAUGUAACCAUGCUGCUGCGACUUGGAAAAGGCGAUUAAUCCUGGGAUCAGUAUACAGGGCUAAAAGCUAGUACUCAUAUCCAAUGAUUACAAUGACUUUACUAUGAAAAGGUAAUCAACAUGCUUUCUUGCCCAUCAUAUAUUGUACACCACAGUUUGCUCAAGAUCUGAAAUAUGCUGUUAUGCAGGAUUUUUGGGGUGGGGGACUAUUAUACUAUGUGUUUGAUUCUAGUAUUAUACAAUUACUAGAAUAAGCAACUACUAGUGCAUGUACACACGCACACUACUCCAUGAAUAUUCAGUCUGCUAUGUAACUAUGUGCUCAGAACUAUGCAUUUCAAGAUGUGUCCAUACACCACCAAAUCUCAAAGUGUUCAAUACACAUUUAUGCAUCCAUUUUAAUGUUUACAUGCACCUAAAUAUAUAUUGAUUAAGUAUGCCGCAUUUAAGUCAUAUAGACAUCUUAAACUGAACAGAAGUUUAGUGUCUCAGUGAGUCUUGUAUUCCAUGUCAAGAUUUCAUUUCUUACUCAAUCUCUCACACACAUACAGUGUAAU